This 587-nucleotide ribosomal RNA is filed under the name Bacillus sp. (in: firmicutes). RNAcentral's name for it is "bacterial SSU rRNA". It matches the Rfam family "Bacterial small subunit ribosomal RNA", at positions 750 to 1336 of the family's 1533-position model. The record is from RNAcentral. Lineage: Bacteria; Bacillati; Bacillota; Bacilli; Caryophanales; Bacillaceae.
GGCGCGAAAGCGUGGGGAGCAAACAGGAUUAGAUACCCUGGUAGUCCACGCCGUAAACGAUGAGUGCUAGGUGUUGGGGGGUUCCACCCUCAGUGCUGAAGUUAACACAUUAAGCACUCCGCCUGGGGAGUACGACCGCAAGGUUGAAACUCAAAGGAAUUGACGGGGGCCCGCACAAGCAGUGGAGCAUGUGGUUUAAUUCGAAGCAACGCGAAGAACCUUACCAGGUCUUGACAUCCUCUGACCACUCUAGAGAUAGAGCUUUCCCCUUCGGGGGACAGAGUGACAGGUGGUGCAUGGUUGUCGUCAGCUCGUGUCGUGAGAUGUUGGGUUAAGUCCCGCAACGAGCGCAACCCUUGACCUUAGUUGCCAGCAUUCAGUUGGGCACUCUAAGGUGACUGCCGGUGACAAACCGGAGGAAGGUGGGGAUGACGUCCAAUCAUCGUGCCCCUUAUGACCUGGGCUACACACGUGCUACAAUGGAUGGUACAAAGGGUUGCGAAGCCGCGAGGCCAAGCCAAUCCCAAAAAGCCAUUCUCAGUUCGGAUUGUAGGCUGCAACUCGCCUACAUGAAGCCGGAAUUUGCU